UCUCAUGACGGUUUCCAUUUU
Molecule: non-coding RNA, 21 nt
Filed under: Caenorhabditis elegans
Lineage: Eukaryota; Metazoa; Nematoda; Chromadorea; Rhabditida; Rhabditidae
Source: RNAcentral